AGCAGCCGCGGUAAUUCCAGCUCCAAUAGCGUAUAUUAAAGUUGUUGCAGUUAAAAAGCUCGUAGUUGAAUUUCGGGAUCAAUACGUCGGUCGUGCUUCGGUACGUACUGGCGUCAUUGGUUUCUCCCUUCUGACGAACCAUGAUGUCAUUAACUUGGUGUCAUGGGAAAUCAGGACUGUUACUUUGAAAAAAAUUAGAGUGUUUAAAGCAGGCUCACGCUUGAAUACAUUAGCAUGGAAUAAUGAAAUAGGACGUUCGAUCCUAUUUUGUUGGUUUCUAGGAUCAACGUAAUGAUUAAUAGGGAUAGUUGGGGGCAUUAGUAUUCAAUUGUCAGAGGUGAAAUUCUUGGAUUUAUUGAAGACUAACUACUGCGAAAGCAUUUGCCAAGGAUGUUUUCAUUAAUCAAGAACGAAAGUUAGGGGAUCGAAGACGAUCAGAUACCGUCGUAGUCUUAACCAUAAACUAUAGCCAACUAGGGAUCGGAUGAUGUUAAUUUUUAAUGUACUCAUUCGGCGUACC
This 520-nucleotide ribosomal RNA is filed under the name uncultured Glomus. RNAcentral describes it as "SSU rRNA". It matches the Rfam family "Eukaryotic small subunit ribosomal RNA", at positions 569 to 1087 of the family's 1831-position model. Lineage: Eukaryota; Fungi; Glomeromycota; Glomeromycetes; Glomerales; Glomeraceae. The record is from RNAcentral.